GGGGAUGUGGCGGAAUUGGCAGACGCGCUAGAUUUAGGAUCUAGUGGGCAUAGCCCGUGGAGGUUCGAGUCCUCUCAUCCCCA
RNAcentral lists this transfer RNA (83 nucleotides) under Planctomycetales bacterium. RNAcentral's name for it is "tRNA-Leu". It matches the Rfam family "tRNA". From Rfam's summary of the family: Transfer RNA (tRNA) molecules are approximately 80 nucleotides in length. Their secondary structure includes four short double-helical elements and three loops (D, anti-codon, and T loops). The record is from RNAcentral. Lineage: Bacteria; Pseudomonadati; Planctomycetota; Planctomycetia; Planctomycetales.